RNAcentral lists this small RNA (389 nucleotides) under Pan troglodytes (chimpanzee). RNAcentral describes it as "retained intron". Lineage: Eukaryota; Metazoa; Chordata; Mammalia; Primates; Hominidae. The record is from RNAcentral.
GGCAGAGACUGGUGGCUGGAGGAGACGCCGGCGCUGGAGAGUGCGCUGCGCCGCCGGCCGCUGAGGGACCGCGGGGUUCGCCACUGCUGGCUGCUUCCAGUGUUCGCGGAGAGGUACCGGGGGUGACAGCUCCGGGACCGGCCGAAAGGCGAGGAACCGGAAGCGCGGGGGAGUGCGACCGCCUCAAAUCCAGCCUUCUUGUUUGGUGGGACGACCGUCGGUUCUGUCCGGGAGGAAUGACGGGGUCAAGGUGGGGUCCCCAGGGCCGCGGGCCCGUGAAGCCCCAUUAAAGCGAUUGCGAAAUGCGCUCGGCACUGUCACCUGACCGUUACCCCCGCCCCCGUCCCCUGCGAGCCUUUGUUUACCACGAUCGCGACACCCGGCCCGCU